UGGCGGCCUUAGCGCGGUGGUCCCACCUGACCCCAUGCCGAACUCAGAAGUGAAACGCCGUAGCGCCGAUGGUAGUGUGGGGUCUCCCCAUGCGAGAGUAGG
Molecule: ribosomal RNA, 102 nt
Filed under: Escherichia coli
Lineage: Bacteria; Pseudomonadati; Pseudomonadota; Gammaproteobacteria; Enterobacterales; Enterobacteriaceae
Also listed under: 2 other names
Source: RNAcentral